Molecule: long non-coding RNA, 405 nt
Organism: Monodelphis domestica (gray short-tailed opossum)
Lineage: Eukaryota; Metazoa; Chordata; Mammalia; Didelphimorphia; Didelphidae
Source: RefSeq, a predicted model, not a curated record
CAUAGACAUUCUUGAUUAGAUGGAAGAUAACCUUAGUAAAGAUGGCUUUAGCAGCUGGACAGAACAGGAGCAUUCUCUUUCCGAAGGUGGAGUUUGAGAUGAUGAAACUGAAGUUCACAGAGUGAAAUUUGGCCAGUAUCACACAGCUAAGAAAAUAUUGAAGGUCUCAGUUCAAGAUUUCCUCGAAUCUGCACAAUGUUAGACCUCCUUCAAUAGAUACAAGAGCAACAGAGAGACACGAUGAAAAAUCAAUCACUCAAUCAGUCAACAAGUAAGUACUGGCCAUAGAAAAAAAAUUCUCCAGUCCCUGCCCUCUGUUGGAAAAGAUAACAUGUAUACAUGAAAAUAUGUGCGCAAAAUAUACAGAAUAAGUAUAAGGUGAUUUCGAGGGGAAAGCACUAACAA